AGCAAACGCUGGCGGCGUGCCUAAUACAUGCAAGUCGAACGCCUGUAGUAAUACAGGAGUGGCGCACGGGAGAGGAACACGUGGGUAAUCUACCUUUAGGAGGGGAACAACCAGUCGAAAGAUUGGCUAAUACCCCAUAUGACCACAGUGACUGAUGUCACAGGGGUAAAAGAUUUAUCGCCUAUAGAUGAGCCUGCGUCCCAUUAGCUAGUUGGUGAGGUAAUAGCUUACCAAGGCGACGAUGGGUAGCUGGUCUGAGAGGAUGAUCAGCCCCACUGGAACUGAGACACGGUCCAGACUCCUACGGGAGGCAGCAGUAGGGAAUAUUGCACAAUGGGCGCAAGCCUGAUGCAGCGACGCCGCGUGAGUGAUGAAGGUCUUCGGAUUGUAAAGCUCUGUUGUUAGGGAAUAAGAAAGUGAAUGUACCUGACGAGAAAGCACCGGCUAACUUCGUGCCAGCAGCCGCGGUAAUACGGA
This 477-nucleotide ribosomal RNA is filed under the name uncultured bacterium. RNAcentral describes it as "bacterial SSU rRNA". It matches the Rfam family "Bacterial small subunit ribosomal RNA", at positions 29 to 529 of the family's 1533-position model. The record is from RNAcentral.